Molecule: ribosomal RNA, 509 nt
Filed under: uncultured bacterium
Lineage: Bacteria
Description: bacterial SSU rRNA
Rfam family: Bacterial small subunit ribosomal RNA
Source: RNAcentral
GACGAACGCUGGCGGCGUGCCUAAUACAUGCAAGUCGAACGCACUCUCGUUUAGAUUGAAGGAGCUUGCUCCUGAUUGAUAAACAUUUGAGUGAGUGGCGGACGGGUGAGUAACACGUGGGUAACCUGCCCUAAAGUGGGGGAUAACAUUUGGAAACAGAUGCUAAUACCGCAUAAAACCUAACACCGCAUGGUGUAGGGUUGAAAGAUGGUUUCGGCUAUCACUUUAGGAUGGACCCGCGGUGCAUUAGUUAGUUGGUGAGGUAAAGGCUCACCAAGACCGUGAUGCAUAGCCGACCUGAGAGGGUAAUCGGCCACACUGGGACUGAGACACGGCCCAGACUCCUACGGGAGGCAGCAGUAGGGAAUCUUCCACAAUGGACGAAAGUCUGAUGGAGCAACGCCGCGUGAGUGAAGAAGGUCUUCGGAUCGUAAAACUCUGUUGUUGGAGAAGAAUGUAUCUGAUAGUAACUGAUCAGGUAGUGACGGUAUCCAACCAGAAAGCCACGG